Non-coding RNA from Dama dama (fallow deer), 891 nucleotides. The record is from the annotation of a RefSeq genome assembly. NCBI's taxonomy places the organism in Eukaryota, Metazoa, Chordata, Mammalia, Artiodactyla, Cervidae.
AUGAAAAGGCUAGUGUACACCAUACUGGGGCUUUUGUUUGCCCAGGUUUGCUGUGUGCGAGGGAUGGAUGUGGAGCAGAGUCCCCCAGCCCUGAGUCUGCAGGAGGGAGCCAGCUCUACUCUGCGGUGUAAUUUCUCCAUCUUCCCAAACAAUGUGCAGUGGUAUCUUCAGAACCCCGGGGGCCGCCUCAUCCACCUGUUUUACAUUCCUUCAGGGACAAAGCAGGAUGGAAGAUUAAAUGCCACGACAGUCCCUAAAGAACGCCGCAGCUCACUGCACAUUUCCUCUUCGCGGACCACAGACUCGGGCACCUACUUCUGUGCUGCUCAGCACGGUGCUCCCCAGGCACCUGCAGCCUCUGCACGAACCCUCCCGGGGCUCAGCCCCUCCUCCAGCCUCAGUCACACCAUGAGGCCCCCACAGGGCAUUUUCAGUGCUUCAUGUUACUCACCUGCAUCAGAACAGCUUUAACCAUAGACCCUUCUUGGCCCUACAGGUUACGAACUUCGGCGUCUAUCUCCCCUUCUCAGUCUGUCUCCUUUUGCAAUAGAAACUUUGAACUGGGAACUAGCAGAGUAGUUGAUACGAGGAUAGAAUUAAAAUAAAUAUUUAACCACAGCUUCCCAGGUGGCUCAGUGGUAAAGAAUCUGCUUACCAAUGCAGGAGACGCAGGAGACAUGGGUUCGAUCCCUGGGCUGGCAAGAUCCUCUGGAGGAGGAAACGGUAACCCACUCCAGUAUUCUUGGGAAAGACUGGGAAAGCUCAUGGACAGAGGAGCCUGGUGGGCUAACAGUCCAUGGGGUCUCAAAGAGUUGGACUGACUGAGUGACCGAGCAUGCAUGCUGAACUCAGAAAUGUUAAAAAGUGAAAGGAAUGAAAUGAAAUCACUCC